Molecule: ribosomal RNA, 249 nt
Filed under: uncultured bacterium
Lineage: Bacteria
Description: partial 16S ribosomal RNA
Rfam family: Bacterial small subunit ribosomal RNA
Source: RNAcentral
AAGGGGGCUAGCGUUGUUCGGAAUUACUGGGCGUAAAGCGCACGUAGGCGGUUUGUUAAGUCAGAGGUGAAAUCCCGGAGCUCAACUUCGGAACUGCCUUUGAUACUGGCAAUCUAGAGUCCGGAAGAGGUUAGUGGAAUUCCCAGUGUAGAGGUGAAAUUCGUAGAUAUUGGGAAGAACACCAGUGGCGAAGGCGGCUAACUGGUCCGGUACUGACGCUGAGGUGCGAAAGCGUGGGGAGCAAACAGG